GCCGAGGUAGCUCAGGGGUAGAGCAGUGGACUGAAAAUCCUCGUGUCGGCGGUUCAAAUCCGCCCCUCGGCACCA
RNAcentral lists this transfer RNA (75 nucleotides) under Candidatus Falkowiibacteriota bacterium. Its description in RNAcentral is "tRNA-Phe". It matches the Rfam family "tRNA". Rfam says of the family: Transfer RNA (tRNA) molecules are approximately 80 nucleotides in length. Lineage: Bacteria; Candidatus Falkowiibacteriota. The record is from RNAcentral.